CCUACGGGAGACAGCAGUGAGGAAUAUUGGUCAAUGGGCUUACGCCUGAACCAGCCAAGUCGCGUGAGGGAAGACUGCCCUAUGGGUUGUAAACCUCUUUUGUUAGGGAGCAACGCCGGCUACGUGUAUCCGGCCUGAGAGUACCUGCAGAAAAAGCAUCGGCUAACUCCGUGCCAGCAGCCGCGGUAAUACGGAGGAUGCGAGCGUUAUCCGGAUUUAUUGGGUUUAAAGGGUGCGUAGGCGGCAUGCCAAGUCAGCGGUAAAAUCGCGGGGCUCAACCUCGCUCCGCCGUUGAAACUGGCGUUCUUGAGUGGGCGAGAAGUAUGCGGAAUGCGUGGUGUAGCGGUGAAAUGCAUAGAUAUCACGCAGAACUACGAUUGCGAAGGCAGCAUACCGGCGCACAACUGACGCUGAAGCACGAAAGCGUGGGUAUCGAACAGGAUUAGAUACCCGAGUAGUC
This 460-nucleotide ribosomal RNA is filed under the name uncultured bacterium. RNAcentral's name for it is "partial 16S ribosomal RNA". It matches the Rfam family "Bacterial small subunit ribosomal RNA", at positions 338 to 795 of the family's 1533-position model. The record is from RNAcentral.